GGUCAGCUGGGGCUCUGCUCUGCAUCUUUCUCCCUCUGGAACCCUAGCUGAGUGAGUGGUCACUAUCUGGAACAUUGCUGGCCAUUGUGACAGAGGGGGCACUGAGCUCUGGAGGGUUUCACACAGACAAGCCUUUCGCCUUCCACCAUGAUUGUGAGGCCUCCCCAGCCACGCGGAACUCAGGUCCUAAAACCUAGGAAGACUUUUCUGACCUUCCCCUGAAGCAGGCCUAAGACCCUCCUGUGUGAGAGCAGGCUGGGCGAUACAGCGAGACCCUGCCUCGAAAACACCGUCACCACCACCACCACAAACAACAGCAAAACCCCACCCAGGGGUUCCAGACAAUGAACCUAAGAUAGAUAGAAGGAAAAGAUAAGUUGCCUCCCCUACAAAGGCUAAGGCAACAUGUUGAGCCAAGAUACACCAGAUUCUAGAACCUGAGCAUUUAGCUUCAACCUCUUGGGGUUAUCUCCAGCCUCCAACUGGUGGGGGUCAGCCCCUGAACCAAAGGUUUGUGUUUCCAAGAUUUCUGUCAAUGUACUGGUCACAGGGAU
Long non-coding RNA from Gorilla gorilla gorilla (western lowland gorilla), 554 nucleotides. RefSeq lists it as uncharacterized. The record is from RefSeq and is a predicted model, not a curated record. The transcript is spliced from 4 exons. NCBI's taxonomy places the organism in Eukaryota, Metazoa, Chordata, Mammalia, Primates, Hominidae.